AUGAACGCUGGCGGCGUGCUUAACACAUGCAAGUCGAACGAAGCACUUUAUUUGAUUUCCUUCGGGACUGAUUAUUUUGUGACUGAGUGGCGGACGGGUGAGUAACGCGUGGGUAACCUGCCUUGUACAGGGGGAUAACAGUUGGAAACGGCUGCUAAUACCGCAUAAGCGCACAGCAUCGCAUGAUGCAGUGUGAAAAACUCCGGUGGUAUAAGAUGGACCCGCGUUGGAUUAGCUAGCUGGUGAGGUAACGGCCCACCAAGGCGACGAUCCAUAGCCGACCUGAGAGGGUGACCGGCCACAUUGGGACUGAGACACGGCCCAAACUCCUACGGGAGGCAGCAGUGGGGAAUAUUGCACAAUGGGCGAAAGCCUGAUGCAGCGACGCCGCGUGAGCGAAGAAGUAUUUCGGUAUGUAAAGCUCUAUCAGCAGGGAAGAUAAUGACGGUACCUGACUAAGAAGCACCGGCUAAAUACGUG
Molecule: ribosomal RNA, 480 nt
Filed under: uncultured bacterium
Lineage: Bacteria
Description: partial 16S ribosomal RNA
Rfam family: Bacterial small subunit ribosomal RNA
Source: RNAcentral